GAUAACAGGCUGAUCUUCCCCAAGAGUCCAUAUCGACGGGAUGGUUUGGCACCUCGAUGUCGGCUCGUCGCAUCCUGGGGCUGGAGUCGGUCCCAAGGGUUGGGCUGUUCGCCCAUUAAAGCGGUACGCGAGCUGGGUUUAGAACGUCGUGAGACAGUUCGGUCCCUAUCCGCUGUGCGCGUAGGAAUAUUGAGAAGGGCUGUCCCUAGUACGAGAGGACCGGGACGGACGAACCUCUGGUGUGCCAGUUGUUCUGCCAAGGGCAUGGCUGGUUGGCUACGUUCGGGAGGGAUAACCGCUGAAAGCAUCUAAGCGGGAAGCCUGCUUCGAGAUGAGUAUUCCCACCUCCUUGAGAGGGUAAGGCUCCCAGUAGACGACUGGGUUGAUAGGCCGGAUAUGGAAGCCCUGUAAGGGGUGGAGUUGACCGGUACUAAUAGGCCGAGGGCUUGUCCUCAGUUG
Molecule: ribosomal RNA, 459 nt
Filed under: Streptomyces albidoflavus
Lineage: Bacteria; Bacillati; Actinomycetota; Actinomycetes; Kitasatosporales; Streptomycetaceae
Description: partial 23S ribosomal RNA
Rfam family: Bacterial large subunit ribosomal RNA
Source: RNAcentral